Molecule: long non-coding RNA, 6639 nt
Filed under: Takifugu rubripes (torafugu)
Lineage: Eukaryota; Metazoa; Chordata; Actinopteri; Tetraodontiformes; Tetraodontidae
Description: lncRNA (ENSTRUG00000029576.1)
Source: RNAcentral
UUCAACAACAAGUCCAUCCACAACUUCUGCAACUACAUCGUCACCAUCCACAUCAGCAACAAGCAGUCAAACAUCAAGUUCAACAGCAAGUCCAUCCACAACUUCUGCAACUACAUCAUCACCAACCACAUCAGCAACAACCAGUCAAACAUCUAGUUCAACAUCCACAAGUCCAUCCACAACUUCUGCAACUACAUCAUCACUAACCACAUCAGCAACAAGCAGUCAAACAUCAAGUUCAACAACAAAAAGUCCAUCCACAACUUCUGCAACUACAUCGUCACCAACGACAUCAGCAACAACCAGUCAAACAUCUAGUUCAACAUCCACAAGUCCAUCCACAACUUCUGCAACUACAUCAUCACUAACCACAUCAGCAACAACCAGUCAAACAUCAAGUUCAACAGCAAGUCCAUCCACAACUUCUGCAACUACAUCGACACCAACAUCAGCAACAACCAGUCAAACAUCAAGUUCAAGAACAAGUCCAUCCACAACUUCUGCAACUACAUUGUCACCAACAUCAGCAACAACCAGUCAAACAUCUAGUUCAACAUCCACAAGCCCAUCCACAACUUCUGCAACUACAUCGUCACCAACAGCAAGCAAUAACCAGUCAAACAUCUAGUUCAACAUCCACAAGUCCAUCCACAACUUCUGCAACUACAUCAUCACCAACCACAUCAGCAACAACCAGUCAAACAUCAAGUUCAACAACAAGUCCAUCCACAACUUCUGCAACUACAUCGUCACCAACAUCAGCAACAACCAGUCAAACAUCAAGUUCAAUAUCUACAAGUCCAUACACAACUUCUACAACUACAUCAUCACCAACCACGUCAGCAACAACCAGUCAAACAUCAAGUUCAACAUCAACAAGUCCAUCCACAACUUCUGCAACUACAUCGUCACCAACCACAUCAGCAACAACCAGUCAAACAUCAAGUUCAACAACAAGUCCAUCCACAACUUCUGCAACUACAUCAUCACUAACCACAUCAGCAACAAGCAGUCAAACAUCAAGUUCAACAACAAAAAGUCCAUCCACAACUUCUGCAACUACAUCGUCACCAACGACAUCAGCAACAACCAGUCAAACAUCAAGUUCAAGAACAAGUCCAUCCACAACUUCUGCAACUACAUUGUCACCAACAUCAGCAACAACCAGUCAAACAUCUAGUUCAACAUCCACAAGCCCAUCCACAACUUCUGCAACUACAUCGUCACCAACAGCAGCAAUAACCAGUCAAACAUCUAGUUCAACAUCCACAAGUCUAUCCACAACUUCUGCAACUACAUCAUCACCAACCACAUCAGCAACAAGCAGUCAAACAUCAAGUUCAACAACAACAAGUCCAUCCACAACUUCUGCAACUACAUCGUCACCAACGACAUCAGCAACAACCAGUCAAACAUCAAGUUCAAGAACAAGUCCAUCCACAACUUCUGCAACUACAUUGUCACCAACAUCAGCAACAAGCAGUCAAACAUCUAGUUCAACAUCCACAAGCCCAUCCACAACUUCUGCAACUACAUCGUCACCAACAGCAGCAAUAACCAGUCAAACAUCUAGUUCAACAUCCACAAGUCUAUCCACAACUUCUGCAACUACAUCAUCACCAACCACAUCAGCAACAAGCAGUCAAACAUCAAGUUCAACAACAACAAGUCCAUCCACAACUUCUGCAACUACAUCAUCACCAACCACAUCAGCAACAACCAGUCAAACAUCAAGUUCAACAUCUACAAGUCCAUCCACAACUACAUCGUCACCAACCACAUCAGUAACAACCAGUCAAACGUCUAGUUCAACAUCCACAAGUCCAUCCACAACUUCUGCAACUACAUCAUCACCAACCACAUCAGCAAUAACCAUUCAAACAUCUAGUUCAACAUCAACAAGUCCAUUCACAACUUCUGCAACUACAUCGUCACCAUCCACAUCAGCAACCAGCAGUCAAACAUCAAGUUCAACAGCAAGUCCAUCCACAACUUCUGCAACUACAUCAUCACCAACCACAUCAGCAACAACCAGUCAAACAUCUAGUUCAACAUCCACAAGUCCAUCCACAACUUCUGCAACUACAUCAUCACCAACCACAUCAGCAACAACCAGUCAAACAUCAAGUUCAACAUCUACAAGUCCAUCCACAACUACAUCGUCACCAACGACAUCAGCAACAACCAGUCAAACAUCAAGUUCAACAUCUACAAGUCCAUCCACAACUACAUCGUCACCAACGACAUCAGCAACAACCAGUCAAACAUCAAGUUCAAGAACAAGUCCAUCCACAACUUCUGCAACUACAUUGUCACCAACAUCAGCAACAACCAGUCAAACAUCUAGUUCAACAUCCACAAGUCCAUCCACAACUUCUGCAACUACAUCGUCACCAACAACAGCAGCAAUAACCAUUCAAACAUCUAGUUCAACAUCCACAAGUCCAUCCACAACUUCUGCAACUACAUCAUCACCAACCACAUCAGCAACAACCAGUCAAACAUCAAGUUCAACAACAAGUCCAUCCAGAACUUCUGCAACUACAUCGUCACCAACAACAUCAGCAACAAGCAGUCAAACAUCAAGUUCAACAUCAACAAGUCCAUCCACAACUUCUGCAACUACAUCGUCACCAACCACAUCAGCAAAAAGCAGUCAAACAUCAAGUUCAACAGCAAGUCCAUCCACAACUUCUGCAACAACAUCAUCACCAACCACAUCAGCAACAACCAGUCAAACAUCAAGUUCAACAUCAACAAGUCCAUUCACAACUUCUGCAACUACAUCGUCACCAACCACAUCAGCAACAAGCAGUCAAACAUCAAGUUCAACAGCAAGUCCAUCCACAACUUCUGCAACUACAUCGUCACCAACAUCAGCAACAAGCAGUCAAACAUCUAGUUCAACAUCCACAAGUCCAUCCACAACUUCUGCAACUACAUCGUCACCAACCACAUCAGCAACAACCAGUCAAACAUCAAGUUCAACAGCAAGUCCAUCCACAACUUCUGCAACAACAUCAUCACCAACCACAUCAGCAACAACCAGUCAAACAUCAAGUUCAACAUCAACAAGUCCAUUCACAACUUCUGCAACUACAUCGUCACCAUCCACAUCAGCAACCAGCAGUCAAACAUCAAGUUCAACAGCAAGUCCAUCCACAACUUCUGCAACUACAUCAUCACCAACCACAUCAGCAACAACCAGUCAAACAUCUAGUUCAACAUCCACAAGUCCAUCCACAACUUCUGCAACUACAUCAUCACCAACCACAUCAGCAACAACCAGUCAAACAUCAAGUUCAACAUCUACAAGUCCAUCCACAACUACAUCGUCACCAACGACAUCAGCAACAACCAGUCAAACAUCAAGUUCAACAUCUGCAAGUCCAUCCACAACUACAUCGUCACCAACGACAUCAGCAACAACCAGUCAAACAUCAAGUUCAAGAACAAGUCCAUCCACAACUUCUGCAACUACAUUGUCACCAACAUCAGCAACAACCAGUCAAACAUCUAGUUCAACAUCCACAAGUCCAUCCACAACUUCUGCAACUACAUCGUCACCAACAACAGCAGCAAUAACCAUUCAAACAUCUAGUUCAACAUCCACAAGUCCAUCCACAACUUCUGCAACUACAUCAUCACCAACCACAUCAGCAACAACCAGUCAAACAUCAAGUUCAACAACAAGUCCAUCCACAACUUCUGCAACUACAUCGUCACCAACAUCAGCAACAACCAGUCAAACAUCAAGUUCAAUAUCUACAAGUCCAUCCACAACUUCUGCAACUACAUCAUCACCAACCACAUCAGCAACAAGCAGUCAAACAUCAAGUUCAACAUCAACAAGUCCAUCCACAACUUCUGCGACUACAUCGUCACCAUCCACAUCAGCAACAAGCAGUCAAACAUCAAGUUCAACAGCAAGUCCAUCCACAACUUCUGCAACUACAUCAUCACCAACCACAUCAGCAACAACCAGUCAAACAUCAAGUUCAACAUCUACAAGUCCAUCCACAACUACAUCGUCACCAACGACAUCAGCGACAACCAGUCAAACAUCAAGUUCAAGAACAAGUCCAUCCACAACUUCUGCAACUACAUUGUCACCAACAUCAGCAACAACCAGUCAAACAUCUAGUUCAACAUCCACAAGCCCAUCCACAACUUCUGCAACUACAUCGUCACCAACAGCAGCAAUAACCCGUCAAACAUCUAGUUCAACAUCCACAAGUCUAUCCACAACUUCUGCAACUACAUCAUCACCAACCACAUCAGCAACAAGCAGUCAAACAUCAAGUUCAACAACAAGUCCAUCCACAACUUCUGCAACUACAUCAUCACCAACCACAUCAGCAACAACCAGUCAAACAUCAAGUUCAACAUCUACAAGUCCAUCCACAACUACAUCGUCACCAACCACAUCAGUAACAACCAGUCAAACGUCUAGUUCAACAUCCACAAGUCCAUCCACAACUUCUGCAACUACAUUGUCACCAACAUCAGCAACAACCAGUCAAACAUCUAGUUCAACAGCAAGUCCAUCCACAACUUCUGCAACUACAUCGUCACCAACAUCAGCAACAAGCAGUCAAACAUCUAGUUCAACAUCCACAAGUUCAUCCACAACUUCUGCAACUACAUCAUCACCAACCACAUCAGCAACAAGUAGUCAAACAUCAAGUUCAACAACAAGUCCAUCCACAACUUCUGCGACUACAUCGUCACCAACAACAUCAGCAACAAGCAGUCAAACAUCAAGUUCAACAACAAGUCCAUCCACAACUUCUGCAACUACAUCGUCACCAACCACAUCAGUAACAACCAGUCAAACAUCUAGUUCAACAUCCACAAGUCCAUCCACAACGUCUGCAACUACAUCGUCACCAACCACAUCAGCAACUUCAGGUGUUGAGCCAAUCUAUAUUGUUUCAGCAACUUUACCUCAAGAGAUUUUUCGAGAAGAACUCACUAACCCCAACAGCACAACAUACAAAGAACUUGAAAGUCGAGUAAUAGACACGUGUACACCUAUCUACACAAGAAAAUAUGGAAAGAGAUUUGUCCGCUGCUUUGUGAAACAAUUCCGCCGUGCUGUGCGUCUACAAGUACGAGAAGAUGCAACUGCAGCUGAUAUUGGGGUUGUGCUCCGCAACAAUAUCCCCAUUUCUGACCUCCCAAAUAAUGACGAAGUUGCUGAAACUUUAGUAACUGCAGCAAAUAGCAAUGAGACCUUAGGUGUGGUUCUGUCUGCAUCCUCGAUUCAAACUAUAUCUGGUCCAGUUCCUGCAACUGCAACAACCACAGUUGCAGCAACUACAAUUUCUGUCAUGACAACCACCACAUCUGCAGCUGUUACAACAACUUCAAGCGGAGUCAACCAGAACAUCACUGCAUUCUCUCUGGUACUGUUGUUAUGGUUACUGUCAAACCACCAAUAAAAUCCUGAUUAUUGUCAUUUAUUGACAGCAUCCAGCAACACUUUAAUAGCAGUGCGCAUAAUAAUAACAUAUAUGUUUAUGUUAUAUUGAAAACUGUUCUGCAUUCUCCUGAUUUAUAAAGUUAACAUUAUAGACCUCCUUUUUUACUAUGUUACAAUACUAUCACUGAGAAAAGAAAUGAAGUGAUAUAUGACAACAAUCACAGUUCUUGAAAUUAUCCAUUGAUGAGAAUUGUCUUUAUCUUGUAUUAUGUGUUUUGCCAUAUGUUCCUGUCUUCUCUUGGAAGUUAGGCAUGGUAGACUCAUGAGCAAAUGUAACAAAGAUUAGAGACAUUCCUUUCACAGGAUUGUUGUUGUUGUUCCAUUGUAAUCUCAGGAGUCAGUCAGGCAGGGGGUGUUAAACACCCAUCAUAAACGGGGCAUCAGGGUGGGGUUGAUGAUCUUAUUUGCAUAAAGAAUGGGAACUUUUAUCUGGCCACCUGGGAAGAUAAUGGAGAAGAAGGACUGUAUCAACACCAAAGGAGACGGGAAGAAGAGGACGAGGUCAUCCCAGCAGAGGAAUUGGAUUGGAUUGUAUGAACAUUGAGAAUUUGCAUGUGUGUUUCUAUAAAAGACUGGGCCAAGGGAUAGUUGCAGCACUUUUUGAAACGGGGAAACACAAAACACGGUGGUGAGACAAAAUGGAACCAAACGCGCAUAGGUGUGCAGAGCGCACAGUAAAGGCAAACUAAACAACAUAAUUGGGAUCGUAACACAACAAUUACCAUUGCUUCAAAACCAGCUGAAGCUCCAAUGACUAUUGACAAAUAAGGAACCAACAAUUUGGCUUUGGUUUGAAUCAAAGUGACUUUGAACACACCUACCUUGAAAGCUUAGUACCUGUCAAAUCACCAUGACAUCUUUGAACUUUAGUUGUUGUCAAUGAGCUAAUACAAUGGGUAUCUGAAUUAGCUCUAUGAUCUUGGGGUCCAGGCCCCAAGUGGCACAAAGGUCCUUUGUCUCCUACUGUCCUUCCCCACCUUCCUGUGCUCCUUCGUUUAAAUAUUGCAGAUUCCCAUCCUGAUUAUUACUAUUUGUCUAUAUUUGCAUCCAGCCUGAUCAUUACCUUUUGUUCAUUGUACGGUAACCCAAAAUGACUCACACUGUCAGUCAGUUCACCAAGGUGCGGUCUACUUUGUAACAGGAUCACACGCCAC